UUAAUUGCCAUAUUCCAAGUGAUCAUAACCUUAAGCUAUGAUAUAUUUCUGUCACAAUACCUAGUAAUCUUAAACAUAUACUCAGAUUUCGAUUUGUCACUAUCCCCAAUUAUCUUAAACGUCAAACUUUAAUGCCACUAAGGCCACAGUCCUUAGUGGUCUUAAACCUUAGAUUAUAAUAUCAUUUCUGUUACAAUCUCAAGUGCUUAUAAACCAAGGCUCUGAUAGUUUUUCUAUCAUAAUUUCCCACUCACACUCAUCUGAACCUAAACCUUAGGAUACCUUAACCUUAAGCUCUGAUACCACUCUAUUACGCCCCGAACCCAGCACCCGAGUCCGGCACGCGACCGGCCGCAUGAGCCCUAGAGCAGUGCCCUAAAGAUCAUGCAAGGCCUAUGAUUAUCAAAAAUUCCAAUAAAUCCACAAUUAAUUUAGUAAUUCAAAUAGACAAAUCCAACAUGUCCACACCAGAUAAACAAAUUAGUUCAAUUACAAGAUCUUCAAAUGUUCAUCAACAUCAAAGAAAGAUAAACAAACCAACUAACUAAUGACUCGGGUACUCGCACUCUGCGCCCAUCCCGUCCAAAUCAAUGCAUCAUGUAACUCUGGUAAAGAAAAAGAAUAAGAGGGGGUGAGCUUUACAGCCCAGUUAAGAAUUUCUACACAUCCAUACCAACACAAUAAUAAUAUGAAUUCGAAAACCACGACAAAUCGAUGCGCAUUUCAUGAAAUCAUAAACAGUUUCCAUAAGACUCAAAUAAUCGAUAUAAUUAUGAACAUCAAGCAUCAAUAAAAGUCCAUAAUUAUACAUCAAACAUCAAUGAAAGUCUGGCCACAUAAGAAUGAUAUAGUAUAUAUAUAGCUUAUAAAUCACUAUGACUAUUUUCAAUGCUUUUUCUUCCUAUUCCAUGUUAACUUGAUCCG
Molecule: long non-coding RNA, 924 nt
Filed under: Phoenix dactylifera (date palm)
Lineage: Eukaryota; Viridiplantae; Streptophyta; Magnoliopsida; Arecales; Arecaceae
Description: long non-coding RNA (PDAC_LNC001727)
Source: RNAcentral